Molecule: non-coding RNA, 104 nt
Filed under: Clostridiaceae bacterium BL-3
Lineage: Bacteria; Bacillati; Bacillota; Clostridia; Eubacteriales; Clostridiaceae
Description: SAM
Rfam family: SAM riboswitch aptamer (S box leader)
About the family: The SAM riboswitch is found upstream of a number of genes which code for proteins involved in methionine or cysteine biosynthesis in Gram-positive bacteria. The SAM riboswitch acts at the level of transcription termination control. The predicted structure consists of a complex stem-loop region followed by a single stem loop terminator region.
Source: RNAcentral
UUCUUAUCAAGAGAGGUGGAGGGACUGGCCCUAUGAUACCCGGCAACCUGAAUUUAUAUUAUUCAAUGGUGCCAAUUCCAGCAGGUUAACCUGAGAGAUGAGAA